CUCUUUGAAUCCGCUGCAGCCCUCAAAUCCCCAAUUUUUCUCGUUCCGGCUAGAAGUAGCAGCCGGCAAGGACCAGGCAGCGCCGCCUCUCCCCUCUUCUCCUCCCCUCCCCGUCGCCUUUUUCUCUCAUCUCUCCCUCCAUUUCUCCUCUUUCUCUCCCCUCGCUUUCUCCUCUCCAGCGAGAAACAACAACUAACAGCAGCAGCAUCCAGGCUAGGGCCACCGGCGAAGCCACCGCAAGGACCAGCGAUAAACACCUGCAGCUCCGGCUAGCGAUCCCGGGCAGGACGCCGAAACAGCAGCUCCAGCGAAGCCUCAAAAGCAGCAGCUCCGGCGAAGCAGUGGCGACGGCAAGCAACACCACAAAUAGAGUUUGCUCGGGCGAAGCUAUGGAGUUUUGGGUCCAUUGGAAAUGGAUUUUUUCAGAUCCGUCCGGUUUUGGCCAUUUACAGCUGCAUUUUUGCCAUGAUCUGCUAUUGGAACCACUUCCUUCCUGCUGCAUUUUGAGGUUGUUUCUUGCUUCAUUUUGAGAAAAACUACUGCAUCUUUGGACAAUUAGUUCCUGCAAUUCAAGCAGAUUUGAGGCUAAGUGCCUGAUUGUAUUUUUUUUGACAAAACAGAUGCUACAUUUUGUAUGAUGUUACACUUAUUUGAAUGAUACUACAAAGGCUGUUGAAAUAAAGUUGAGGGAAAACCCCUUCAAAAUAGUUAUCUUUGGUUUGGUUCUUUCA
Molecule: long non-coding RNA, 731 nt
Organism: Solanum tuberosum (potato)
Lineage: Eukaryota; Viridiplantae; Streptophyta; Magnoliopsida; Solanales; Solanaceae
Exons: 2
Source: RefSeq, a predicted model, not a curated record